This 304-nucleotide ribosomal RNA is filed under the name uncultured bacterium. Its description in RNAcentral is "partial 16S ribosomal RNA". It matches the Rfam family "Bacterial small subunit ribosomal RNA", at positions 506 to 807 of the family's 1533-position model. The record is from RNAcentral.
CAGCAGUAGCCGCGGGAAUACGUAGGGUGCGAGCGUUAAUCGGAAUUACUGGGCGUAAAGCGUGCGCAGGCGGUUGUGUAAGACAGGUGUGAAAUCCCCGGGCUUAACCUGGGAACUGCGCUUGUGACUGCACAGCUAGAGUAUGGCAGAGGGGGGUGGAAUUCCACGUGUAGCAGUGAAAUGCGUAGAGAUGUGGAGGAACACCGAUGGCGAAGGCAGCCCCCUGGGCCAAUACUGACGCUCAUGCACGAAAGCGUGGGGAGCAAACAGGAUUAGAUACCCCGGUAGUCCCUGUCUCUUAUAC